RNAcentral lists this ribosomal RNA (468 nucleotides) under uncultured bacterium. RNAcentral describes it as "partial 16S ribosomal RNA". It matches the Rfam family "Bacterial small subunit ribosomal RNA", at positions 28 to 507 of the family's 1533-position model. The record is from RNAcentral.
GACGAACGCUGGCGGCGUGCUUAACACAUGCAAGUCGAACGGAAAGGCCCAGCUUUCGUGUGGUGCCAGAGGGGCGAAGGGGUGAGUAACACGUGAGUAACCUGGGCUGGAGUGUGGGAUAACUUCAGGAAAGUGGUGCUAAUACCGGCUAGGAGCGGCUGCUGCAUGGGGGGGGUUGGAAAGUUUAGGCGGGUGGGGCUGGAGUCGCGGCUUAUCAGCUUGUUGGUGGGGGAGUGGCCUACGAGGGCUUUGAUGGGUGGUCGGCAUGGGAGGGUGACCGGCCACCUUGGGACUGAGGUACGGCCCAGACUCCAACGGGAGGCAGCAGUGGGGAAUAUUGCACAGUGGGGGGGAGCGUGAUGAAGAAACGCCGGGUGCGGGAAGACGGCCUUCGGGUUGUAAACCGCUUUAGGCUGUGACGAAGCGUGAGUGACGGUAAUGGGUAAAGAAGCACCGGCUAACUACGUG